AGAGAGCUAGGAUGAGGCAUUCUUGGAGCCACCUCGUUAGAAAAAUGAAGUCUGCUGCCUUGCUUUCACAAUGGCUGGAGCCUCAGAAGUCACUCCGAGAUGCAGCAAAGUGCAGGGGAUCAAACCAUUGAUUGCUGAAUUUGAGUCUUACUUUCGUCAUUUAUUAUUAGCUGUGUGACAGCUGGUAAAUUAACUUAAUCUCUCUGUCUCUGUGUUUUCAUUUGUAAAUGGUAUUAAUAUUAGUGCCUCUCCCCCAGG
Molecule: long non-coding RNA, 258 nt
Filed under: Homo sapiens (human)
Lineage: Eukaryota; Metazoa; Chordata; Mammalia; Primates; Hominidae
Description: non-protein coding lnc-SUN3-1:1
Source: RNAcentral